AGUGAACGCUGGCGGUAGGCCUAACACAUGCAAGUCGAACGGCAGCACAGUAAGAGCUUGCUCUUACGGGUGGCGAGUGGCGGACGGGUGAGGAAUACAUCGGAAUCUACUUUUUCGUGGGGGAUAACGUAGGGAAACUUACGCUAAUACCGCAUACGACCUACGGGUGAAAGCAGGGGAUCUUCGGACCUUGCGCGAUUGAAUGAGCCGAUGUCGGAUUAGCUAGUUGGCGGGGUAAAGGCCCACCAAGGCGACGAUCCGUAGCUGGUCUGAGAGGAUGAUCAGCCACACUGGAACUGAGACACGGUCCCGACUCCUACGGGAGGCAGCAGUGGGGAAUAUUGGACAAUGGGCGCAAGCCUGAUCCAGCCAUACCGCGUGGGCGAAGAAGGCCUUCGGGUUGUAAAGCCCUUUUGUUGGGAAAGAAAAGCAGCAGGUUAAUACCCCGCUGUUCUGACGGUACCCAAAGAAUAAGCACCGGCUAACUUCGUG
RNAcentral lists this ribosomal RNA (492 nucleotides) under uncultured bacterium. Its description in RNAcentral is "partial 16S ribosomal RNA". It matches the Rfam family "Bacterial small subunit ribosomal RNA", at positions 29 to 507 of the family's 1533-position model. The record is from RNAcentral.